CGUGGCUUGUUCUCCAAGAGCCGGCCAGAAGAAGUUGCAGCAUGCAUAGAGCAGCCACCUCUAUGAUUGGAGUUUGAAAUUGGAGCAAAACCGCAGUUAUAGUUGUGCUAGAAAUCAAAUGUAAUGCCUCAGCGGCAAAGCCACAGUUAGCGGUGGCGGACCUUAGAGAUAACUGAAGGUUACAACUGGAGUUUGAAAAUCAACACAUUCAUUUUUAUACGAGACCUUAGCCCUCUUCUUAUGUUAGCUGAAAAGGACAGUGUACACCAUCCAAAGUGAGAAGGGAAGUCCAACCCCACUGACAUGUUUCAGUGUUUAAUCUCAAGGGUGAAUGACAUUCAUAAUUCAAGUGGGACUUCUUUGAGUAAUUUUCCUCAUCAUAUCAACCAUCAAGUCCAUCAGUUAAGAGUAAGGCAUGAAAGCUAGAGGAAAGAAGAUGAAAAGGGCACAGAACAGUUUCCAUGACUUGAAGGCCUUCUGGAAUAUUCCAUACUUCCAAUUAGGAGGACACUUUCCCUUCACUGGGGGCAAAGAUGGUGAUAUUAUGUACUGACAUCAGCAGAUGGUUGGAAGCUAUCCUGUGGACUUCAAGCUGCAGUGUUGCACUAUACCCAAAUUCCACUUUUACAGAGCCCCAGUAACAGGGCAUAACUACCCCUUUUCUAUUUUCAGGAACUGGGAUAAUGCUAGCUUUCCUAUAAGCAGUGGCCCUGAUCCCAAGGUACCUUCCAGAAUCAUAAUGAUUUCCAAAGUCCCUACUGAAAGCUCAGAGUUUCCAUAGUGUGGGCUGUGCCGAUCAGCAGCUCAUUGUAAAGAGCAUUCUGGUAAUGAUUCUCAUGGGUGCUUUAAUUGAUACAUUCUCCCACUGGAAUAUCUCAGCACAGUAUUCUAAUACACUCAAAUCAACAGGAACCUCUGGGGGAAAGUCACAGUAAAUUAAGUACAAUUAGCAGAGCAAACAUCUACACAACUAGCCUGCUAGUCUAGUAAUUAUGCAGUCAGCACUUAUUAUAUGGACCAUUUCUCAAAUCAGUGGUCUUUGAAAGUGAUCAUCAUGAUUCUAAACCAGGCUAGGCAAGAAGGGACUAAAAGGCCUAUCCUUUGAGCUGUUGCUCAGGCAUACAACUGUGUGGAUCUGAGGACUGGUGCAACACAGCAGUGACAUAAGCAAGUUCAGGAUUUUGUGGCAAUCCAGUAUGGUACGCUGACAUUGUUAUAACAGCAACCAUCACAGUUUGUAAAGCAUAUGGACUAUAUAUGGACUAUAUAUAGGGCAGUAAUAUAGCUGGAGAUUACUUACAUGGACACCCUUCUAAAGGCCUUUUGGCAAACAAUUGGCCAGUGAUGCAAUCUUGCAGGUAACAACUUAUUAUAAUGGAAUUGCAACCUUAAAUCCAUAAAAUCCCACAGGUAGCAAAGAUGAGAGCAAAUGGGAAUCAAACCCAAUCAUUCUCAAACCCUCAUGCUGAAAUGUGUACCAGUUACAGACAAGUUAUUAAUAAGAACAUUAAGAACCACCUAUGCUGAAUCAGUCCAGGGGUUCUAGAUAUAGUCCAGCACUUGUGUCCUGCAGUGGACAUCUAGACACUACUAGGAUGCUCACAAGCAGAGUAAGAUGGAGAUACAGUAGCCAUGCCUUAUUGCUUAAUCCUCAUCUAGUAAUAAAACAGAAAGAAGUCUAAUGAACUGGGGGAGGUAUUUAUUGUGGGGAGAGUUGCAAUAAGGACAUAAUGAAAGAGUUCCAGAAACCUAUCAGUAUUUACAAGAGGAGGCACCACUAGAUGGCAGGAAUUCUGUCCCUAUUUCAUCUGUUUUUCAGUAGUGAAAAUGCCACAGAAAUCAGCCCCCUUUUUUGUACCAUUUGACGUGAGGAAACACUUUGCACUACAGGAUGGUUGGAUCUCUUCAGGACCAUUGAAUGAUGCAUAUUUACGAAGAAGCUCUUAUCUUUAUAAUUUUUUUAAAACUCGUGUGCUGUUUCCAAAUGCAUAUCUCCCAUUCUGGGCUGAGGUAAUGAUAUAAUAUAAGUGUAUAUAAUAUAUAAUAUAUUAUAUAUGCUUUAUAUUAUACAAUAUAUAAGCUAACAUUAGAGAAAGAAACUCAGAAAAACACAGUUGGUAAAAUUACUCAUUGUGUAGAAUGAACAGAGCUGUCUUGUAUAAGACAAAAACUAUGAAAAAUACUAUUUUUACCUUGCAAAAUAUAUAUCCAUUCAUGCUAGGAAAGAAGAACCUGUUGAAUUUAUUUCUGCCUGCUAGGGCAUAGGAACCCUGUUAGUAUGGAGGUGGGGGAGUGCCAGGAACCAAGUAGAAUUUGUGUCCAGUUCAGACUUUAUAAGUAAGAUUAUCCAGCUAUUCUUUCCAGCUCUUUUUCCACCGCAUUGGAUUUAUUGCAUUUCUAAAGGACAAUGUGUUAAUUAACUAACCUCAAUGAGCAUUUCCUUUUUAGCAUAAAAAGCUAUUUUUUUAACUUAAUCAUGUGCAAUGUCAAGCAGCUAAAAAAGAAUAUGUUGAGAGGUUUGCCCUUGAUUAAAACAUAAAAAUGUGGCCAUAAAUAUUUUUUUAUUGGCUGUAAUACCUUUGCUUUAUUAGGAAGAUAACAGACUGCUGGUUAACUGAUCAUGAAAUAUUAAUUAAAAAGAAAAAUAUAUGGGA
This is a long non-coding RNA of Hemicordylus capensis (graceful crag lizard), 2654 nucleotides long. RefSeq lists it as uncharacterized. The transcript is spliced from 4 exons. The record is from RefSeq and is a predicted model, not a curated record. Lineage: Eukaryota; Metazoa; Chordata; Lepidosauria; Squamata; Cordylidae.